AUACAGAGGGUGCGAGCGUUAAUCGGAUUUACUGGGCGUAAAGCGUGCGUAGGCGGCUUUUUAAGUCGGAUGUGAAAUCCCUGAGCUUAACUUAGGAAUUGCAUUCGAUACUGGGAAGCUAGAGUAUGGGAGAGGAUGGUAGAAUUCCAGGUGUAGCGGUGAAAUGCGUAGAGAUCUGGAGGAAUACCGAUGGCGAAGGCAGCCAUCUGGCCUAAUACUGACGCUGAGGUACGAAAGCAUGGGGAGCAAACAGGAUUAGAUACCCUGGUAGUCCAUGCCGUAAACGAUGUCUACUAGCCGUUGGGGCCUUUGAGGCUUUAGUGGCGCAGCUAACGCGAUAAGUAGACCGCCUGGGGAGUACGGUCGCAAGACUAAAACUCAAAUGAAUCGACGGGG
Molecule: ribosomal RNA, 396 nt
Filed under: uncultured bacterium
Lineage: Bacteria
Description: partial 16S ribosomal RNA
Rfam family: Bacterial small subunit ribosomal RNA
Source: RNAcentral